Molecule: long non-coding RNA, 1010 nt
Organism: Phacochoerus africanus (Common warthog)
Lineage: Eukaryota; Metazoa; Chordata; Mammalia; Artiodactyla; Suidae
Exons: 4
Source: RefSeq, a predicted model, not a curated record
CGCGAGAGUGACUUGCGGGCACCUCCGCGCUCCAAGUUUCAGGGAAGUGCGGUUCUAUUCGCUCACCGAACUUUCUCCACACAUCUUUGUAGACGUCGUAUCCCGUCGUCCAGUCAAGGACUUGUUUUCUAAUCUGUACCUUAAAAAAAACUUCCUCUGUGAGUUCUCUCCGGGACUCGCGCUUGGGAGACCGGCUAGGAAAAUCCCUCUUUUCAUUGGUUCUCGAGGUUGUCACUAUAGGCCUCCCUGGUGUCUGAUUGGUUCUUUUUUUUUUUUUUCUGAUUGGUUCUUGGGAACGAGGCUGCAAAUUUCCCCUAUGGAUCGAUCAGCUUGCGCUCAGCCUAGUGUGCGCUCUCCACACGGUUAGCUACCUAUUUCCACAGAAUCCGAAGUUAGCGCUCUGAGGUCGUGGUGACGCGGUCGGGAGCGUACGGUACUGCUGGCUUCUAGCCCUCGUGGUCUCACUUCACCGCCUCCUUCUACGGCCACCUGUCCUUCCAGGGGGUCUUUCUUGGAGCACCGUCACCUGGAGUCACCUGUAGAUUGAGGUGUGCAUGGCAACCCCCCCGCUCGCUGCGGGUGCUGGAAAAGGGAGGCGGGCCAAGGCCUCCGGCCCAAGAAAGUUGAGCAAGACCUGGCAACCUUCCCACAGAGGUGAUCAAUAAGUGCUUGUGGAAAGAACAAAUGAAUGGAUGGAUGGAGGAGGAGUCAGAAGGAGCACUCAGGAUGCCUUCCAGCUUUUCCGUGUGGGAGCAGGAAGUGAUGGUGAUCCUGGAGGAAGAGUCAACAUUCCGCUCUUUUGAGUUUAUUUAGAAGACACAGCUGCAUCAAGGUCCUGGUUCUAGCCUCUGGAGCACACUGGCUACCCUUCUGCAGGCCAAGAUCCAGUCCCUUCUUAAAGCUGAAUGUCCCCUAUUAUCUUGUAAGCGCCUUCACAGUCCACCCAUCCUCCCUAGGCACGAGGAAAUUAUUCACAUCCAUGUUCAGACCUGGUGGCCGGAUCUCCUCUC